This 336-nucleotide unclassified non-coding RNA is filed under the name Hyrtios erectus. RNAcentral describes it as "sequence contains 28S rRNA gene". The record is from RNAcentral. Lineage: Eukaryota; Metazoa; Porifera; Demospongiae; Dictyoceratida; Thorectidae.
GCGUGUCGACGAAGAUCGUCCCGCGCCGUUGACCGGAGGCGGUGCCGUACUCCUCGUGACCAUUGACCAGCAGCGGUUGGGCCGGAGCCAUAAGGCAGCAGUGGAAGGUGAGUCGGUGUGAGCCCGUCUUGCAUUGACAGCUUAUAGCCCUGUCUGUACGGUGCUCCGGCGUGACCGAGGAAGCCGGGCAGCCCUUGCCCAUUGUGGUGCACGCCGAAUGGCGGGGCCUCCCGACAGGAGCAAACCGUGCGGUGUGGACUGCAUGCAGUGCUCACUGUUGCGGUGAACUCGUGCCGGAGAGUGCCACUGGUGCGCCAGUGCUGCUGGUGUUCAGAU